Molecule: ribosomal RNA, 253 nt
Filed under: uncultured bacterium
Lineage: Bacteria
Description: partial 16S ribosomal RNA
Rfam family: Bacterial small subunit ribosomal RNA
Source: RNAcentral
UACGAAGGGGGCUAGCGUUGCUCGGAAUCACUGGGCGUAAAGGGCGCGUAGGCGGCCGUUUAAGUCGGGGGUGAAAGCCUGUGGCUCAACCACAGAAUUGCCUUCGAUACUGGACGGCUUGAGUUCGGAAGAGGUUGGUGGAACUGCGAGUGUAGAGGUGAAAUUCGUAGAUAUUCGCAAGAACACCGGUGGCGAAGGCGGCCAACUGGACCAUUACUGACGCUGAGGCGCGAAAGCGUGGGGAGCAAACAGG